AUGGCAUCUUCAUCUCUAUCAGUCGUGUUGAUCCUGUGCCUGGCCGCGGCGGCGUCGGCGCAGCUGUCGACGACGUUCUACGACAAGUCGUGCCCUUUGGCUCUUGAAAAAAUCCUGAACGGCGUGGCGACGGCCGUGAAGAACGACCGCCGCAUGGCCGCGUCGCUGCUCCGGCUGCAUUUUCAUGACUGCUUUGUCCAGGGCUGUGACGCGUCCGUUCUGCUGAAUGAGACUAGCGUGGGUGGCAACGAGCGGGGGGCAUUCGGGAACGUGGGAUCGUUGCGUGGCUUCGAGGUCAUUGAACAAAUCAAGAAGGAUGUAGAAGCCGUGUACAAAAAGCCGUACAACAACAAUGGCCCCGUCGUCUCCUGCGCCGACAUCCUCGCCGUCGCCGCCCGUGAGUCUGUCGUCGCGUUGGGAGGGCCGUCGUGGGAGGUUAAACUGGGGAGGAGGGACUCCACCACGGCUAGCGUGACACAGGCCAAUUAG
RNAcentral lists this ribosomal RNA (489 nucleotides) under Triticum aestivum (bread wheat). RNAcentral's name for it is "partial small subunit ribosomal RNA". Lineage: Eukaryota; Viridiplantae; Streptophyta; Magnoliopsida; Poales; Poaceae. The record is from RNAcentral.